AUUGAACGCUGGCGGCAUGCUUUACACAUGCAAGUCGGACGGCAGCGGGGUAGUGCUUGCACUACUGCCAGCGAGUGGCGCACGGGUGAGUAAUAUAUUGGAACGUACCGAGUAAUGGGGGAUAACCAAUCGAAAGAUUGGCUAAUACCGCAUACGCUCUGAGGAGGAAAGCAGGGGACCUUCGGGCCUUGCGUUAUUCGAGCGGCCAAUAUCUGAUUAGCUAGUUGGUGGGGUAAGGGCCUACCAAGGCGACGAUCAGUAGCGGGUCUGAGAGGAUGAUCCGCCACACUGGGACUUAGACACGGCCCAGACUCCUACGGGAGGCAGCAGUGGGGAAUUUUGGACAAUGGGCGCAAGCCUGAUCCAGCCAUGCCGCGUGUCUGAAGAAGGCCUUCGGGUUGUAGGACUUUUGUUAGGGAAGAAAAAGGAGCGGUUAAUACCCGUUUCUGCUGACGGUACCUAAAGAAUAAGCACCGGCUAACUACGUG
Molecule: ribosomal RNA, 488 nt
Filed under: uncultured bacterium
Lineage: Bacteria
Description: partial 16S ribosomal RNA
Rfam family: Bacterial small subunit ribosomal RNA
Source: RNAcentral